GUUUGUAGAUUGGAAGGAGCCAUCUAUAGUAGUUUCUUUAUAUUUAGAUUUACUUUUUGAGAAAAACAUGAACUCUAGCACAAAAAUCAUUUGUGUGGGGGUUUAAUGAUUUUAAACUUAAAGGGUAUAAUAUAGUUAAAUUAUUUCAGCAUUUUCUCUUUUAAUAGUAAAUCAUUAGCAGCCACCGAUUUAUUCUCUGUUUUGUUAAAAGAAGUUUUCUCUGUUUCUCUUCGUUUAAAACCCCGCCCCUUUCCCUUUUCUUUUUAUUACUUUGUUUUCUGCUCUUUUGUUCGCGUUUUCUCGUUGCUGGGUUCAACUGAUUUCCGUUUUGUUGAAUCGCUGAGCUCGUUUUUCAUCGUUUGUUUAUGUGUCCGAGUCGUUCUUCGUUUUUGUAACUGAGUUAGUUGUGCCGAGUUUGUGACUCGGUUGAAUUGAGUCUGUGUUCUGCUGCGUGAUUGCUUUCUUUUGCUGUUAAGAUUCCGAGUUUUGUUUGUUCGUUUUUGCCGAGUCUCGAGUUGCCCUCUGCUCUGUUCUUCAUUUAGUUUGAGUUCGAGUUGUGUGGGUCUGUUUUUGUAUCUUUUGUUCAUUUGGUUGUAAUUUGCGAGUAUGGUAUCUGUUCUAUUCUGUUUUUCACCAAAGCAGUCGAGCCUUGAGCUAGUCGUGCGAGUUCUGUUUAGCUGGGUUCGGAUUUUCUGAGUCUAGUCUGCUGUGUUUUAGUCGAGUCAAACGGUAAACUAUCUGGGUUUCGUUUUCGUUUAUAUAGCUAUGAACUGAGUCUUUUUGUGUGUGAUUAUGUCGAGUAUAGCUGAGUUUUGGGUCAUUUCUGGUUUCAUCUGCUAGUUACUGAGUCGUUCAUCGAGUCGAGUUCCGGCCCCGUAGUAAGUUUGCUGCGAUUUUGUUCGGAGUUCCAGCUAUUUCGGAGUUUUGUUUUUGUAUUUUCUUAAGGCGUUUGUCUUUGUAGAGUCGAGUCUGUUAUUCUGUAUUGUGAAUCGCAGCCCUGAGUUCCAGUUGCUUGUUCUACUAAUUUUGCCAAGUUUAGUUUCCUGAGUUUAGGAUUAGAUUUGUUGCGUCUGUUUGUUUAGGAGCUACUG
Molecule: long non-coding RNA, 1091 nt
Filed under: Daucus carota (carrot)
Lineage: Eukaryota; Viridiplantae; Streptophyta; Magnoliopsida; Apiales; Apiaceae
Description: long non-coding RNA (DCAR_LNC006977)
Source: RNAcentral